GCGUUAGUGGUGUAGCGGUUAGCAUUGUUGCCUUCCAAGCAAUAGAUCGGGGUUCGACUCCCCGCUGACGCA
This is a transfer RNA of Aspergillus aculeatus ATCC 16872, 72 nucleotides long. It matches the Rfam family "tRNA". From Rfam's summary of the family: Transfer RNA (tRNA) molecules are approximately 80 nucleotides in length. Their secondary structure includes four short double-helical elements and three loops (D, anti-codon, and T loops). Further hydrogen bonds mediate the characteristic L-shaped molecular structure. tRNAs have two regions of fundamental functional importance: the anti-codon, which is responsible for specific mRNA codon recognition, and the 3' end, to which the tRNAs corresponding amino acid is attached (by aminoacyl-tRNA synthetases). tRNAs cope with the degeneracy of the genetic code in two manners: having more than one tRNA (with a specific anti-codon) for a particular amino acid; and 'wobble' base-pairing, i.e. permitting non-standard base-pairing at the 3rd anti-codon position. The record is from Rfam. NCBI's taxonomy places the organism in Eukaryota, Fungi, Ascomycota, Eurotiomycetes, Eurotiales, Aspergillaceae.